RNAcentral lists this long non-coding RNA (494 nucleotides) under Citrus maxima (pomelo). RNAcentral describes it as "long non-coding RNA (CMAX_LNC002214)". Lineage: Eukaryota; Viridiplantae; Streptophyta; Magnoliopsida; Sapindales; Rutaceae. The record is from RNAcentral.
UUUGAACGUAUUAUUGUAGCUUUAUUUGAAUAAUUAGUCUCGAUGUAUUAUAUUUUGAAACUUUAAAUGUAUUAUUUUAGCUUUAUUUAAAUUUUAUUCAAUUUUAAAUUUAAUUGGUAACAAAAUUAUUUUUAUAUUAGAUUUUUUUAUUUCACUAGUUGGAGAGAACUAAAAAUUUUUAAUUCGAAAAUUUUGGCUACCCCUAGAGCCUAUUACAUCAUAGCAUAAAGUUUUUUCGACAAUGACAUGUAGCUUUGAAUUUAUCACUUCAAGAGGAAAUCAAACACCUAAGGCGCCCAAUUGGGAUGGAACCUCGUCGAGUCAGCUUCAAUGUGGUUCAAUCCGAACCAUCAGCAAGCCAAAGUGCCCAUGCUACUGAUGAUCAUCAUGACAAACCAGAGCCUAAGGAGCCGAAAGGAAAGUAAAAAGUGACGGUUGAUUUGCUUAUUGAGUUUAAAAUAUAAAGCCAAGGAUUCCCCUAUCUUACAUGUAUG